GAGGGUAUAGCUCAGUGGUAGAGCACGUGCUUAGAAUGCGUAAGGUCCUGGGUUCAGUCCCCAGUACCUCCA
RNAcentral lists this transfer RNA (72 nucleotides) under Camelus bactrianus (Bactrian camel). It matches the Rfam family "tRNA". Rfam says of the family: Transfer RNA (tRNA) molecules are approximately 80 nucleotides in length. Lineage: Eukaryota; Metazoa; Chordata; Mammalia; Artiodactyla; Camelidae. The record is from Rfam by way of RNAcentral. RNAcentral also lists the same sequence under 2 other names.